RNAcentral lists this ribosomal RNA (497 nucleotides) under uncultured bacterium. RNAcentral's name for it is "partial 16S ribosomal RNA". It matches the Rfam family "Bacterial small subunit ribosomal RNA", at positions 28 to 507 of the family's 1533-position model. The record is from RNAcentral.
GAUGAACGCUGGCGGCGUGCCUAAUACAUGCAAGUCGAGCGAACAGAUAAGGAGCUUGCUCCUUUGAAGUUAGCGGCGGACGGGUGAGUAACACGUGGGUAACCUACCUAUAAGACUGGGAUAACUUCGGGAAACCGGAGCUAAUACCGGAUAACAUUUAGAACCGCAUGGUUCUAAAGUGAAAGAUGGUUUUGCUAUCACUUAUAGAUGGACCCGCGCCGUAUUAGCUAGUUGGUAAGGUAACGGCUUACCAAGGCGACGAUACGUAGCCGACCUGAGAGGGUGAUCGGCCACACCGGAACUGAGACACGGUCCAGACUCCUACGGGAGGCAGCAGUAGGGAAUCUUCCGCAAUGGGCGAAAGCCUGACGGAGCAACGCCGCGUGAGUGAUGAAGGGUUUCGGCUCGUAAAACUCUGUUAUUAGGGAAGAGCAAAUGUGUAAGUAACUGUGCACAUCUUGACGGUACCUAAUCAGAAAGCCACGGCUAACUACGUG